AUUUUUAGAUGCUUAUGAUUAGAAACUGUUUAGAUUAUGUUAGAUCAUGUUAAAUGUUCAACUACACAAUAGAUUGUUUAGAAUAUGAACAGAUUGAGGCAAUGGAACCUUUAUCGUUUAAUAGUUAAAUUAAGGUUUAAGAAAUAUAAUUGUUUUACUUCUUCUAACUAUUUUAUUCAAUUAUUUGUAAUCAAAGUUCUGCAUGUAACUUCGAAAAAUCGCAUUAAUUUUUAUUAUAUUUCAUCUAACUUUAAAAAAUGCUAAUGAAGUUAAAGUAACACAUUGUAAGGAGAAAAUGCAAAAGAAAAAAAAGAAUAUUGGCUGUUAUCGUGUCGUUGCAGAUGAAAUGGAAUGUGUCGCUAUACUGUAAAGCAGCGACGAAAACUGAACGACCAUUUCGAACAAUCCAAGGCUUACAUCACAGUAACGAAAUGAUUGAAGCAACUGUUGAAUAUGUAAAUGAGAAAAGUACGUUUCAGAGUAUUUUAAUUAAAUUGCACUGGUCUGGGAUUUGCUAGUAUAUUUAAAGAAUCUAAAUGCGACAAAUCGUUCAUAAAGUGACUUACAUCGCAGUGAUAUUACGAAAUAGAUUAAAAGAAAGUAAGAUAAGAUUUAUUUAUACGAUUCAGAUAAGCAACUAUAACCAAUUUUUAUCAGUAUCAACGUAGAUUUGUCAGAUGGACUUCUAAAAAUAAUGUUUUCCACAUCGAUGAAACACAUUUUAUGUAUAUGCGCAUACAUAGAAAAAACUAUUGAAAAUACAAAUACACAUUUAAGGCAGAAAUUUUUAUCUAAAUUUUAAUUCACAUGAAGCCUCAUUCUGAAACUUUAAGUAUAACAACACGGCGCUGGUAAACUGAUUUCUCAAAGUGAUGACGCUCGCACCAAAUAUAAACAUGCAAUGAAAAAACUUUCAAUUGUAGUAAUUUUAACUUCAUCUCUUCAAAUGUAUUACCGACAGGUUGUUGAAAUUUUUCUGAUUAA
Molecule: non-coding RNA, 984 nt
Organism: Nomia melanderi (Alkali bee)
Lineage: Eukaryota; Metazoa; Arthropoda; Insecta; Hymenoptera; Halictidae
Source: RefSeq, a predicted model, not a curated record